This 1868-nucleotide ribosomal RNA is filed under the name Escherichia coli. RNAcentral describes it as "partial 23S ribosomal RNA". It matches the Rfam family "Bacterial large subunit ribosomal RNA", at positions 1 to 1895 of the family's 2925-position model. Lineage: Bacteria; Pseudomonadati; Pseudomonadota; Gammaproteobacteria; Enterobacterales; Enterobacteriaceae. The record is from RNAcentral.
GGUUAAGCGACUAAGCGUACACGGUGGAUGCCCUGGCAGUCAGAGGCGAUGAAGGACGUGCUAAUCUGCGAUAAGCGUCGGUAAGGUGAUAUGAACCGUUAUAACCGGCGAUUUCCGAAUGGGGAAACCCAGUGUGAUUCGUCACACUAUCAUUAACUGAAUCCAUAGGUUAAUGAGGCGAACCGGGGGAACUGAAACAUCUAAGUACCCCGAGGAAAAGAAAUCAACCGAGAUUCCCCCAGUAGCGGCGAGCGAACGGGGAGGAGCCCAGAGCCUGAAUCAGUGUGUGUGUUAGUGGAAGCGUCUGGAAAGGCGCGCGAUACAGGGUGACAGCCCCGUACACAAAAAUGCACAUGCUGUGAGCUCGAUGAGUAGGGCGGGACACGUGGUAUCCUGUCUGAAUAUGGGGGGACCAUCCUCCAAGGCUAAAUACUCCUGACUGACCGAUAGUGAACCAGUACCGUGAGGGAAAGGCGAAAAGAACCCCGGCGAGGGGAGUGAAAAAGAACCUGAAACCGUGUACGUACAAGCAGUGGGAGCACGCUUCGGCGUGUGACUGCGUACCUUUUGUAUAAUGGGUCAGCGACUUAUAUUCUGUAGCAAGGUUAACCGAAUAGGGGAGCCGAAGGGAAACCGAGUCUUAACUGGGCGUUAAGUUGCAGGGUAUAGACCCGAAACCCGGUGAUCUAGCCAUGGGCAGGUUGAAGGUUGGGUAACACUAACUGGAGGACCGAACCGACUAAUGUUGAAAAAUUAGCGGAUGACUUGUGGCUGGGGGUGAAAGGCCAAUCAAACCGGGAGAUAGCUGGUUCUCCCCGAAAGCUAUUUAGGUAGCGCCUCGUGAAUUCAUCUCCGGGGGUAGAGCACUGUUUCGGCAAGGGGGUCAUCCCGACUUACCAACCCGAUGCAAACUGCGAAUACCGGAGAAUGUUAUCACGGGAGACACACGGCGGGUGCUAACGUCCGUCGUGAAGAGGGAAACAACCCAGACCGCCAGCUAAGGUCCCAAAGUCAUGGUUAAGUGGGAAACGAUGUGGGAAGGCCCAGACAGCCAGGAUGUUGGCUUAGAAGCAGCCAUCAUUUAAAGAAAGCGUAAUAGCUCACUGGUCGAGUCGGCCUGCGCGGAAGAUGUAACGGGGCUAAACCAUGCACCGAAGCUGCGGCAGCGACACUAUGUGUUGUUGGGUAGGGGAGCGUUCUGUAAGCCUGUGAAGGUGUGCUGUGAGGCAUGCUGGAGGUAUCAGAAGUGCGAAUGCUGACAUAAGUAACGAUAAAGCGGGUGAAAAGCCCGCUCGCCGGAAGACCAAGGGUUCCUGUCCAACGUUAAUCGGGGCAGGGUGAGUCGACCUCUAAGGCGAGGCCGAAAGGCGUAGUCGAUGGGAAACAGGUUAAUAUUCCUGUACUUGGUGUUACUGCGAAGGGGGGACGGAGAAGGCUAUGUUGGCCGGGCGACGGUUGUCCCGGUUUAAGCGUGUAGGCUGGUUUUCCAGGCAAAUCCGGAAAAUCAAGGCUGAGGCGUGAUGACGAGGCACUACGGUGCUGAAGCAACAAAUGCCCUGCUUCCAGGAAAAGCCUCUAAGCAUCAGGUAACAUCAAAUCGUACCCCAAACCGACACAGGUGGUCAGGUAGAGAAUACCAAGGCGCUUGAGAGAACUCGGGUGAAGGAACUAGGCAAAAUGGUGCCGUAACUUCGGGAGAAGGCACGCUGAUAUGUAGGUGAAGCGACUUGCUCGUGGAGCUGAAAUCAGUCGAAGAUACCAGCUGGCUGCAACUGUUUAUUAAAAACACAGCACUGUGCAAACACGAAAGUGGACGUAUACGGUGUGACGCCUGCCCGGUGCCGGAAGGUUAAUUGAUGGGGUUAGCG